GAAGGUUCUGUGAAGACAUGAAGGUUCUGUGGAGACAUGAUGGUUCUGUGGAGACGAAGGUUCUGUGGAGACAUGAAGGUUCUGUGAAGACAUGAAGGUUCUGUGGAGACAUGAUGGUUCUGUGGAGACGAAGGUUCUGUGGAGACAUGAAGGUUCUGUGGAGACAUGAAGGUUCUGUGGAGACAUGAUGGUUCUGUGGAGACGAAGGUUCUGUGGAGACAUGAAGGUUCUGUGAAGACAUGAAGGUUCUGUGGAGACAUGAUGGUUCUGUGGAGACGAAGGUUCUGUGGAGACAUGAUGGAUCUGUGGAGACAUGAUGGAUCUGUGGAGACAUGAAGGUUCUGUGGAGACAUGAAGGUUCUGUGAAGACAUGAAGGUUCUGUGGAGACAUGAAGGUUCUGUGGAAACAUGAAGGUUCUGUGGAGACAUGAUGGUUCUGUGGAGACAUGAUGGUUCUGUGGAGACAUGAAGGUUCUGUGGAGACAUGAUGGUUCUGUGGAGACAUGAAGGUUCUGUGAAGACAUGAUGGAUCUGUGGAGACAUGAAGGAUCAGGAGGUUUGAAGCUGAACAAACCGACAGGAUUUGAUCCUUUUCAUUAAAGAAAAUCAGUUUUUGUUGCACUUUGCAUCGCUGCUCUGAGAAAAUAAAUGUCACAUCCAAAGUUUUAAAGAACGGUUUGAUCUGUUGGUGCUCUGUGUGUUUGUCAGGGAGGACCCUCAGCUACUACCACACUGAAGUUUAGCUCAAUACCUGUAAAAAUGACUGAGCAGCUUCGGCGGCCAUCUUGAAUCAGGCUGAGAUAUUUAACCAGACGUUCAACAGAUGAUGACUUUCUGAGUUUGAAUAAAGUUCCUCUGUUAAUUACAUCAUCACCUGCCUUUUGUAACAGCAGGUGUUAAGAUGUAAUCACACAAAAAUAAUAUGUUUUAAACACUGAGUUCAUCAGGUUAAUGUAAACAAAAUGUAACAAUGGAUCAAAAACAAAUCAGUUUAAAUAUUGCGAAGUAAAAUAUUUAAUGAUGUUGAAUGAUUUCUGGUUUUAUAGCUGUGAAACAGAAAUAAAAAUUUUGUUUGUUCAGAUUUUUGUUUUAUAAUUGUUGCACCAAUAAAACCAUUUGUUUGUAGAAAACAAUAGUUUUACCUUUAAUCUGUACAUUUCUGUAGCUGAUGUUUUUUUCAUGUUAGUUAAAAAUCUCACAGAGCUGUUUUCUUUUGAGUCGUUUUCUAUAAAUUAAAUGUUUUAUUUCAGUCUUUUAACACUCUGUUAGCCUGCCAUGCAGACA
Molecule: long non-coding RNA, 1284 nt
Organism: Austrofundulus limnaeus
Lineage: Eukaryota; Metazoa; Chordata; Actinopteri; Cyprinodontiformes; Rivulidae
Exons: 2
Source: RefSeq, a predicted model, not a curated record